This 400-nucleotide ribosomal RNA is filed under the name uncultured eukaryote. RNAcentral's name for it is "SSU rRNA". It matches the Rfam family "Eukaryotic small subunit ribosomal RNA", at positions 567 to 925 of the family's 1831-position model. The record is from RNAcentral.
CCAGCAGCUGCGGUAAUUCCAGCUCCAAUAGCGUAUAUUAAUUUUGUUGCAGUUAAAAAGCUCGUAGUUGGAUUUCUUUUAUGUGAAUGGCUUCGGGUCAGUAAGCCUUUGUGCUCACUUGCCUUCCAUUUAUAUAAAAUAAAUUGUGAAUUUCGCGCGUGGUUGAAUCAUGUCGGGUAUUCAUUUAUCUGAUUUGGUGACGCCUGUGCAUAUGGGAUUCGCAUCAUUUACUGUGAAAAAAUCAAAGCGUUCAAAGCAGGCUCUAAGCUCUCUGAAUGUCUCAGCAUGGAAUAAUAAGAUAAGUUUCAUCCUCAUUUUGUUGGUUUGCAAGGAAGAAAAAUGAUUAAUAGGGACAAUUGGGGUUAUUCGUAUUAGAUUGUCAGAGGUGAAAUUCUUGGAU